CGGAAAGGGAUCCUGUCAGGUUGGAGUAGAAAGAAGACGAGACCAACAGGAUCCUGUCAGGUUGGAGUAGAAAGAAGACGAGACCAACAGGAUCCUGUCAGGUUGGAGUAGAAAGAAGACAAGAGCAACAGAAAGGGAUCCUGUCAGGUUGGAGUAGAAAGAAGACGAGACCAACGGAAAGGGAUCCUGUCAGGUUGGAGUAGAAAGAAGACGAGACCAACAGGAUCCUGUCAGGUUGGAGUAGAAAGAAGACGAGACCAACAGGAUCCUGUCAGGUUGGAGUAGAAAGAAGACGAGACCAACAGGAUCCUGUCAGGUUGGAGUAGAAAGAAGACAAGAGCAACAGAAAGGGAUCCUGUCAGGUUGGAGUAGAAAGAAGACGAGAUCAACGGGAAAGGGAUCCUGUCAGGUUGGAGUAGAAAGAAGACGAGACCAACGGAAAGGGAUCCUGUCAGGUUGGAGUAGAAAGAAGACGAG
This is a long non-coding RNA of Oncorhynchus tshawytscha (Chinook salmon), 477 nucleotides long. NCBI's taxonomy places the organism in Eukaryota, Metazoa, Chordata, Actinopteri, Salmoniformes, Salmonidae. The record is from Ensembl.